RNAcentral lists this ribosomal RNA (534 nucleotides) under Mucor circinelloides. RNAcentral's name for it is "partial large subunit ribosomal RNA". It matches the Rfam family "Eukaryotic large subunit ribosomal RNA", at positions 134 to 643 of the family's 3401-position model. The record is from RNAcentral. Lineage: Eukaryota; Fungi; Mucoromycota; Mucoromycetes; Mucorales; Mucoraceae.
UAAACCGUAUUGUAAACUGUAGAAACAUUUUCCUGGCACGCCGGAUUAAUAAGUCCUUUGGAACAAGGCAUCAUGGAGGGUGAGAAUCCCGUCUUUGAUCCGAGUAGUUGUCUUUUGUGAUAUGUUUUCAAAGAGUCAGGUUGUUUGGGAAUGCAGCCUAAAUUGGGUGGUAAAUCUCACCUAAAGCUAAAUAUUUGCGAGAGACCGAUAGCGAACAAGUACCGUGAGGGAAAGAUGAAAAGAACUUUGAAAAGAGAGUUAAACAGUAUGUGAAAUUGUUAAAAGGGAACCGUUUGGAGCCAGACUGGUUUGACUGUAAUCAACCUAGAAUUCGUUCUGGGUGCACUUGCAGUCUAUACCUGCCAACAACAGUUUGAUUUGGAGGAAAAAAUUAGUAGGAAUGUAGCCUCUCGAGGUGUUAUAGCCURCUAUCAUACUCUGGAUUGGACUGAGGAACGCAGCGAAUGCCWUUAGGCGAGAUUGCUGGGUGCUUUCGCUAAUAAAUGUUAGAAUUUCUGCUUCGGGUGGUGCUAA